ACACUGGGAUAGCCUUUCGAAAGAAAGAUUAAUACCGGAUGGCAUAAUUAUUCCGCAUGGGAUAAUUAUUAAAGAAUUUCGGUUGUCGAUGGGGAUGCGUUCCAUUAGGCAGUUGGCGGGGUAACGGCCCACCAAACCUACGAUGGAUAGGGGUUCUGAGAGGAAGGUCCCCCACAUUGGAACUGAGACACGGUCCAAACUCCUACGGGAGGCAGCAGUGAGGAAUAUUGGUCAAUGGACGAGAGUCUGAACCAGCCAAGUAGCGUGAAGGAUGACUGCCCUAUGGGUUGUAAACUUCUUUUAUACGGGAAUAAAGUGAGCCACGUGUGGUUUUUUGUAUGUACCGUAUGAAUAAGGAUCGGCUAACUCCGUGCCAGCAGCCGCGGUAAUACGGAGGAUCCGAGCGUUAUCCGGAUUUAUUGGGUUUAAAGGGAGCGUAGGCGGGUUGUUAAGUCAGUUGUGAAAGUUUGCGGCUCAACCGUAAAAUUGCAGUUGAUACUGGCGACCUUGAGUGCAACAGAGGUAGGCGGAAUUCGUGGUGUAGCGGUGAAAUGCUUAGAUAUCACGAAGAACUCCGAUUGCGAAGGCAGCUUACUGGAUUGUAACUGACGCUGAUGCUCGAAAGUGUGGGUAUCAAACAGGAUUAGAUACCCUGGUAGUCCACACAGUAAACGA
Molecule: ribosomal RNA, 675 nt
Filed under: uncultured bacterium
Lineage: Bacteria
Description: bacterial SSU rRNA
Rfam family: Bacterial small subunit ribosomal RNA
Source: RNAcentral